This 656-nucleotide small RNA is filed under the name Pongo abelii (Sumatran orangutan). RNAcentral describes it as "retained intron". The record is from RNAcentral. Lineage: Eukaryota; Metazoa; Chordata; Mammalia; Primates; Hominidae.
UUUUCCUCCAUUGUCAAUCUUUAAUAGCUGUGUUGUUAUGUAUUGAAAGCAUGAAUGUUCACUGUCUUACUAAAAUGCUCCCACAAUCAUGCCUCUUUUUGUAGUACCAUCCUUCCAGAUACAAGUAGGAAAAGUCGCCAGAAGACAAGAGCUGUAGGGAAAACCACCAACCCUAUCUUCAACCACACUAUGGUGUAUGAUGGGUUCAGGCCUGAAGAUCUGAUGGAAGCCUGUGUAGAGCUUACUGUCUGGGACCAUUACAAAUUAACCAACCAAUUUUUGGGAGGUCUUCGGAUUGGCUUUGGAACAGGUAAAAGUUAUGGGACUGAAGUGGACUGGAUGGACUCUACUUCAGAGGAAGUUGCUCUCUGGGAGAAGAUGGUAAACUCCCCCAAUACUUGGAUUGAAGCAACACUGCCUCUCAGAAUGCUUUUGAUUGCCAAGAUUUCCAAAUGAGCCCAAAUUCCACUGGCUCCUCCACUGAAAACUACUAAACCGGUGGAAUCUGAUCUUGAAAAUCUCAGUAGGUGGACAAAUGUCCUCACUUUCUAUCCAUUGCACCUAAGGAAUACUACACAGCAUGUAAAAGUCAAUCUGCAUGUGCUUCUUUGAUUACAAGGCCCAAGGGAUUUAAAUAAUAACAAAAUGUGUAAUUU